RNAcentral lists this ribosomal RNA (725 nucleotides) under Rhodococcus sp. 15AAIII. RNAcentral's name for it is "bacterial SSU rRNA". It matches the Rfam family "Bacterial small subunit ribosomal RNA", at positions 59 to 801 of the family's 1533-position model. The record is from RNAcentral. Lineage: Bacteria; Bacillati; Actinomycetota; Actinomycetes; Mycobacteriales; Nocardiaceae.
CAGUCGAGCGGUAAGGCCUUUCGGGGUACACGAGCGGCGAACGGGUGAGUAACACGUGGGUGAUCUGCCCUGCACUUCGGGAUAAGCCUGGGAAACUGGGUCUAAUACCGGAUAUGACCUCCUAUCGCAUGGUGGGUGGUGGAAAGAUUUAUCGGUGCAGGAUGGGCCCGCGGCCUAUCAGCUUGUUGGUGGGGUAAUGGCCUACCAAGGCGACGACGGGUAGCCGACCUGAGAGGGUGACCGGCCACACUGGGACUGAGACACGGCCCAGACUCCUACGGGAGGCAGCAGUGGGGAAUAUUGCACAAUGGGCGAAAGCCUGAUGCAGCGACGCCGCGUGAGGGACGACGGCCUUCGGGUUGUAAACCUCUUUCAGCAGGGACGAAGCGCAAGUGACGGUACCUGCAGAAGAAGCACCGGCUAACUACGUGCCAGCAGCCGCGGUAAUACGUAGGGUGCAAGCGUUGUCCGGAAUUACUGGGCGUAAAGAGUUCGUAGGCGGUUUGUCACGUCGUUUGUGAAAACUCACAGCUCAACUGUGAGCCUGCAGGCGAUACGGGCAGACUUGAGUACUGCAGGGGAGACUGGAAUUCCUGGUGUAGCGGUGAAAUGCGCAGAUAUCAGGAGGAACACCGGUGGCGAAGGCGGGUCUCUGGGCAGUAACUGACGCUGAGGAACGAAAGCGUGGGUAGCGAACAGGAUUAGAUACCCUGGUAGUCCACGCC